GAUUCCAAAAUAUUAUUAUUUAUUAUUUCCAUUUUAUUAUUUAUUGCUUCCAUUUUAACCAUCACUUAGGUAAUCUUCAGUAGAUACUGAGGUAAUGGUGUCAUCUAUAUGUUCCAUAUUUUCUAUUAUAUUAUAUUGUAUUUCUAUAUGUUCUUCUACUAAUUUAUCUUCACCUUUUCAUCCAUAGUUAAUUUUUCUAUAGUAUAUUUAUAAACAAUAUCAACGAAAAAUAUUAUAUCUUUUUCAUCUACUGUAUGAUUUCUAAAAUAUUUAUGAAAUAUUUCUUU
This 287-nucleotide long non-coding RNA is filed under the name Nicotiana benthamiana. Its description in RNAcentral is "long non-coding RNA (NBEN_LNC031797)". The record is from RNAcentral. Lineage: Eukaryota; Viridiplantae; Streptophyta; Magnoliopsida; Solanales; Solanaceae.